Acanthosepion pharaonis is the source of this 99-nucleotide non-coding RNA. Lineage: Eukaryota; Metazoa; Mollusca; Cephalopoda; Sepiida; Sepiidae. The record is from the annotation of a GenBank genome assembly.
CGUUGAAACUCUGGUUCCUGUACAAUCACUGAAGUUAAGUAAUGUUGAGCCUAGUCAGUACUUUGAUGGGUGACUACUGGAGAAUGCAAGGUGCUGUAA